UGCUCUGUUUCAGCUGUUAUGGUCAGUCUAGCUGUAUGGAGGAGAAGGUACUGCUCUGUUUCAGCUGUUAUGGUCAGUCUAGCUGUAUGGAGGAGGAGGUACUGCUCUGUUUCAGCUGUUAUGGUCAGUCUAGCUGUAUGGAGGAGGAGGUACUGCUCUGUUUCAGCUGUUAUGGUCAGUCUAGCUGUAUGGAGGAGGAGGUACUGCUCUGUUUCAGCUGUUAUGGUCAGUCUAGCUGUAUGGAGAAGGUACUGCUCUGUUUCAGCUGUUAUGGUCAGUCUAGCUGUAUGGAGGAGGAGGUACUGCUCUGUUUCAGCUGUUAUGGUCAGUCUAGCUGUAUGGAGGAGGUACUGCUCUGUUUCAGCUGUUAUGGUCAGUCUAGCUGUAUGGAGGAGGUACUGCUCUGUUUCAGCUGUUAUGGUCA
RNAcentral lists this long non-coding RNA (424 nucleotides) under Salmo salar (Atlantic salmon). RNAcentral describes it as "lncRNA (ENSSSAG00000115294.1)". The record is from RNAcentral. Lineage: Eukaryota; Metazoa; Chordata; Actinopteri; Salmoniformes; Salmonidae.